This 253-nucleotide ribosomal RNA is filed under the name uncultured bacterium. Its description in RNAcentral is "partial 16S ribosomal RNA". It matches the Rfam family "Bacterial small subunit ribosomal RNA", at positions 524 to 776 of the family's 1533-position model. The record is from RNAcentral.
UACAGAGGUCUCAAGCGUUGUUCGGAUUUAUUGGGCGUAAAGGGAGCGCAGGCGGAUUGGUAAGUCAGUGGUGAAAGGCUUAAGCUUAACUUGGGAACUGCCAUUGAUACUAUCAGUCUUGAAUGUUGUUGAGGUUUGCGGAAUGGGUCAUGUAGCGGUGAAAUGCAUAGAUAUGACCCGGAACACCUAUUGCGAAGGCAGCAGGCUAAACAAAUAUUGACGCUGAGGCUCGAAAGCGUGGGGAUCAAACAGG